Gallus gallus (chicken) is the source of this 584-nucleotide long non-coding RNA. The record is from Ensembl. NCBI's taxonomy places the organism in Eukaryota, Metazoa, Chordata, Aves, Galliformes, Phasianidae.
GCUUCCGGGAAGUGGUCACACUAAUUCCUUAUUUUCCACCACUGCCUUUAGUACUGGAGCGGCUGCUGUUGCAUCCUUAUGUUGCUGCACCCUGAGUAACCAGAAGUUCUCACUGAUUGCUGCAGCUCUAAGUGAUAGCCUACAUGGUGGUUUUUCAGAGUUCACCGAUGACAUGACAUUUACAAAUUUCUGAUCCUCAUCACUUUGGUGAAAGCUGCCUCACUCACUCAUGCCCUCUGGAAGCCUCUGCCCUCCUGCAGCUGCUUCAGGACCCUGAAACUGCUUCUGCUGAGAUCCUGAAUCAAUACAUUUUUACUAAGAAGACUAAUGGACAUUUCUUCAGAGACAGCCAAGGACCUAAAUAAUGAGCGUCUUCAACGAAGCAUGUUUAUCUAUGCGUCCUUAAGUCGUAAAGGAAUAUCUAGCUUCCAAAUGCCAAUACUAAAAAAAACUAAAGAAGGAGUCCAGUGGAGGGCCACAAAGAUGAUGAAGGGACUGGAGCAUCUUCUUUACGAGGAAAGGCUGAGGCACCUGGGACACAUUGGCAUGGAGAAGAAAAGGCUGAGAUGUUGCAGUCUCUUUCU